CCUACGGGAGGCUGCAGUAGGGAAUAUUGCUCAAUGGGGGAAACCCUGAAGCAGCCACGCCGCGUGGAGGAUGAAGGUUUUCGGAUUGUAAACUCCUUUUGUUAGAGAAGAUAAUGACGGUAUCUAACGAAUAAGCACCGGCUACCUCCGUGCCAGCAGCCGCGGGAAUACGGCGGGUGCAAGCGUUACUCGGAAUCACUGGGCGUAAAGCGUGCGGAGGCGGGAUAGCAAGUCAGAUGUGAAAGCCUAUGGCUUAACCAUAGAACUGCAUUUGAAACUGUUAUUCUAGAGUAUGGGAGUGGUAGGUGGAAUUCUUGGUGUAGGGGUAAAAUCCGUAGAGAUCAAGAGGAAUACUCAUUGCGAAGGCGACCUGCGAGAACAUAACUGACGCUGAUGCGCGAAAGCGUGGGGAGCAAACAGGAUUAGAUACCCUGGUAGUC
RNAcentral lists this ribosomal RNA (440 nucleotides) under uncultured bacterium. Its description in RNAcentral is "partial 16S ribosomal RNA". It matches the Rfam family "Bacterial small subunit ribosomal RNA", at positions 338 to 795 of the family's 1533-position model. The record is from RNAcentral.